GAGUGAACGCUGGCGGUAGGCCUACCACAUGCAAGUCGAACGGCAGCACAGUAAGAGCUUGCUCUUACGGGUGGCGAGUGGCGGACGGGUGAGGAAUACAUCGGAAUCUACUUUUUCGUGGGGGAUAACGUAGGGAAACUUACGCUAAUACCGCAUACGACCUACGGGUGAAAGCAGGGGAUCUUCGGACCUUGCGCGAUUGAAUGAGCCGAUGUCGGAUUAGCUAGUUGGCGGGGUAAAGGCCCACCAAGGCGACGAUCCGUAGCUGGUCUGAGAGGAUGAUCAGCCACACUGGAACUGAGACACGGUCCAGACUCCUACGGGAGGCAGCAGUGGGGAAUAUUGGACAAUGGGCGCAAGCCUGAUCCAGCCAUACCGCGUGGGUGAAGAAGGCCUUCGGGUUUUAAAGCCCUUUUGUUGGGAAAGAAAAGCAGCAGGUUAAUACCCCGCUGUUCUGACGGUACCCAAAGAAUAAGCACCGGCUAACUUCGUG
RNAcentral lists this ribosomal RNA (493 nucleotides) under uncultured bacterium. RNAcentral's name for it is "partial 16S ribosomal RNA". It matches the Rfam family "Bacterial small subunit ribosomal RNA", at positions 27 to 507 of the family's 1533-position model. The record is from RNAcentral.